RNAcentral lists this ribosomal RNA (600 nucleotides) under uncultured Sphingobacterium sp. RNAcentral's name for it is "bacterial SSU rRNA". It matches the Rfam family "Bacterial small subunit ribosomal RNA", at positions 507 to 1111 of the family's 1533-position model. The record is from RNAcentral. Lineage: Bacteria; Pseudomonadati; Bacteroidota; Sphingobacteriia; Sphingobacteriales; Sphingobacteriaceae.
GCCAGCCGCCGCGGUAAUACGGAGGAUCCGAGCGUUAUCCGGAUUUAUUGGGUUUAAAGGGUGCGUAGGCGGCCCGUUAAGUCAGGGGUGAAAUACGGUGGCUCAACCAUCGCAGUGCCUUUGAUACUGACGGGCUUGAAUCCAAAUGAAGUGGGCGGAAUAAGACAAGUAGCGGUGAAAUGCAUAGAUAUGUCUUAGAACUCCGAUUGCGAAGGCAGCUCACUAAGCUGGUAUUGACGCUGAUGCACGAAAGCGUGGGGAUCGAACAGGAUUAGAUACCCUGGUAGUCCACGCCCUAAACGAUGAUAACUCGAUGUUGGCGAUAGACAGCCAGCGUCCCAGCGAAAGCGUUAAGUUAUCCACCUGGGGAGUACGCCCGCAAGGGUGAAGCUCAAAGGAAUUGACGGGGGCCCGCACAAGCGGAGGAGCAUGUGGUUUAAUUCGAUGAUACGCGAGGAACCUUACCCGGGCUUGAAAGUUAGUGGAGGAUGCAGAGACGCAUCCGUCCUUCGGGACACGAAACUAGGUGCUGCAUGGUUGUCGUCAGCUCGUGCCGUGAGGUGUUGGGUUAAGUCCCGCAACGAGCGCAACCCCUAUGUU